UGGCCUAGUGGGUAGGGCACUGGACUAAGAAUCAGGAGACCUGGAUUCUAUUUCCAG
RNAcentral lists this transfer RNA (57 nucleotides) under Chelonia mydas (Green sea turtle). It matches the Rfam family "tRNA", at positions 8 to 63 of the family's 71-position model. Rfam says of the family: Transfer RNA (tRNA) molecules are approximately 80 nucleotides in length. Lineage: Eukaryota; Metazoa; Chordata; Testudines; Cheloniidae. The record is from Rfam by way of RNAcentral.